Long non-coding RNA from Drosophila miranda, 285 nucleotides. RefSeq lists it as uncharacterized. The record is from RefSeq and is a predicted model, not a curated record. Lineage: Eukaryota; Metazoa; Arthropoda; Insecta; Diptera; Drosophilidae. The transcript has 2 exons.
UAAAUGCAGUAGACACCCCACGAAAUUCGCCGAAUAAAUACAAGUGUGUGCGUGUGUUUAUUGGGGUUAAAAAAACUAAAACAAACAACGUCACGGCAAGAGCAUUGCCAGCAGCAAGAACACACGCCCUACUUUGUAAAAUUAAAUUCCUGUUAAAACCACAUACAUUCAAUCGGUUUGAAACGCCAAGAGCUGGAAAAUACGAAAGAAACCCUCAUACAUAUGUAUGUAUGCUGUGCGCGUGUGUGAGUGUGGUGCAUUCAAGGCUGAUAAAACAACACAAAA